GGGCCCAUAGCUCAGCUGGAAGAGCGCCACAAUGGCAUUGUGGAGGUCGUCGGUUCGAACCCGAUUGGGUCCACCA
Molecule: transfer RNA, 76 nt
Filed under: Acidobacteriota bacterium
Lineage: Bacteria; Pseudomonadati; Acidobacteriota
Description: tRNA-Ala
Rfam family: tRNA
About the family: Transfer RNA (tRNA) molecules are approximately 80 nucleotides in length. Their secondary structure includes four short double-helical elements and three loops (D, anti-codon, and T loops). Further hydrogen bonds mediate the characteristic L-shaped molecular structure. tRNAs have two regions of fundamental functional importance: the anti-codon, which is responsible for specific mRNA codon recognition, and the 3' end, to which the tRNAs corresponding amino acid is attached (by aminoacyl-tRNA synthetases). tRNAs cope with the degeneracy of the genetic code in two manners: having more than one tRNA (with a specific anti-codon) for a particular amino acid; and 'wobble' base-pairing, i.e. permitting non-standard base-pairing at the 3rd anti-codon position.
Source: RNAcentral